This 497-nucleotide ribosomal RNA is filed under the name uncultured bacterium. Its description in RNAcentral is "partial 16S ribosomal RNA". It matches the Rfam family "Bacterial small subunit ribosomal RNA", at positions 28 to 507 of the family's 1533-position model. The record is from RNAcentral.
GAUGAACGCUGGCGGCGUGCCUAAUACAUGCAAGUCGAGCGAACGGACGAGAAGCUUGCUUCUCUGAUGUUAGCGGCGGACGGGUGAGUAACACGUGGAUAACCUACCUAUAAGACUGGGAUAACUUCGGGAAACCGGAGCUAAUACCGGAUAAUAUUUUGAACCGCAUGGUUCAAAAGUGAAAGACGGUCUUGCUGUCACUUAUAGAUGGAUCCGCGCUGCAUUAGCUAGUUGGUAAGGUAACGGCUUACCAAGGCAACGAUGCAUAGCCGACCUGAGAGGAUGAUCGGCCACACUGGAACUGAGACACGGUCCAGACUCCUACGGGAGGCAGCAGUAGGGAAUCUUCCGCAAUGGGCGAAAGCCUGACGGAGCAACGCCGCGUGAGUGAUGAAGGUCUUCGGAUCGUAAAACUCUGUUAUUAGGGAAGAACAUAUGUGUAAGUAACUGUGCACAUCUUGACGGUACCUAAACAGAAAGCCACGGCUAACUACGUG